Tetranychus urticae (two-spotted spider mite) is the source of this 4837-nucleotide non-coding RNA. The record is from RefSeq and is a predicted model, not a curated record. NCBI's taxonomy places the organism in Eukaryota, Metazoa, Arthropoda, Arachnida, Trombidiformes, Tetranychidae.
UUGAUCAACAGUCAAAAUAAUAGUUUCAUUCUUUAUUCCCGUUAACUAUCAUCUAGUUCUUUUCAUGUAAUUCCGUAUCUUUUAAUAGUUUUUAUCAGUUUUAUUUCAUUUCAAAGUUCAUAAUUCGACAUGGAACCUGAUUCACCCGUGCUAGCUUCGGGGGAUAGACCUCCACUUAGUUCAAAACCUACAGGUACAAAUAAAAGACUAAGUGUUGAGCGGAUUUACCAGAAAAAAUCACAAUUAGAACAUAUCCUUCUCCGCCCCGAUACAUAUAUUGGCUCUGUAGAACCUGUUACUCAACAAAUGUGGGUUUAUGACGAGGAAAAAAGUGAAAUACUAUCUAAAGACAUAACUUAUGUCCCUGGGCUCUAUAAAAUUUUUGACGAAAUACUGGUCAAUGCGGCCGAUAAUAAACAGCGGGAUAAAUCAAUGAACUUAAUCAAAAUUGAUAUUGUUCCUGAAGACAAUAUGAUAAGAAUUUGGAACAAUGGAGCAGGUAUACCGGUUGUGUAUCACAAGGCGGAAAAUAUGUACGUUCCGUCCCUGAUUUUCGGUCACCUUUUAACUUCAUCAAAUUUCAAUGAUGAUGAAAAAAAAGUUACAGGAGGUCGUAAUGGUUAUGGAGCAAAGUUAUGUAAUGUAUUUUCCAAAAAGUUCAUCGUAAAAACAUCCUCUAAAGCCUAUGACAGCUCUUUUGAACAAACAUGGACUGAUAACAUGUCCAAAGCACAAGAAGCUAAAAUUGGAAAAGCGGCUAAGUCUGACUUUACAUCUGUAACUUUCUACCCUGAUCUAUCAAAAUUUAAAAUGCAGUCGUUGGAUCCGGAUAUUGUGGCACUUUUCAAACGUCGUGCAUUUGAUAUUGCUGGCUCUACCAAAGGGGUAAAAGUAGUUCUUAAUGGCGAAGAACUACCAAUCAAGAACUUCAAAGAUUAUGUUAAUCAAUAUCUUAAGGGUAAAGUUGAUGAUCAAGGUGGACCUCUUCAAUGUGCGUAUGAAGAUGUAAGCGAUAGAUGGCAAAUUGCUGUGGCAUCCAGUGAUAAAGGAUUCCAACAAGUUAGCUUUGUGAAUAGUAUUGCAACUACUAAAGGUGGUCGUCAUGUGGAACAUGUCAGCGAUCUGAUACUUACCAAAUUGACCGAGGUAAUCAAAAAGAAAAACAAAGGAGGCGUCCAGGUCAAGCCACAUCAGCUGAAACAUCAACUUUGGGUGUUCAUAAAUUGUUUAAUUGAAAAUCCGACUUUUGACUCCCAAACUAAAGAAAACAUGACAUUACAGGCUAAAAAUUUUGGAUCUAAGUGUAACCCAUCUGAUAAGUUUUUCACUACUGUUUUAAAAAUCGGUAUCGUUGAAAAUAUUUUGCAAUGGGUCAAGUUUAAAGCUCAAGAACAGCUCAACAAGCAAGGAGUCAAAUCGAAGCAUAGUAGAGUUCACGUUCCUAAAUUGGAAGAUGCUAAUCUUGCUGGAGGAGCUCGAUCAAUUGAUUGCACACUGAUUUUGACAGAAGGAGACUCUGCCAAAUCAUUAGUUGUAGCCGGUCUUGGUGUCAUCGGAAGAGAUAAAUAUGGUGUAUUUCCGUUGCGGGGUAAACUGUUAAACGUGAGAGAAGCCGCUGUCCCACAAAUUAUGAAGAAUGAAGAAAUCCAGAAUUUAAUCAAAAUCGUUGGAUUAGAUUAUCGUAAGAAAUAUGAGCGAGAAGAAGAUCUGAAAUCUCUUCGAUAUGGAAAAAUUAUGAUUAUGACCGAUCAAGAUCAUGAUGGUUCCCACAUUAAAGGUCUUCUCAUCAAUUUCAUUCAUCAUAAUUGGCCGAAUCUUCUGAAGCUUCCUUUCUUAGAAGAAUUCAUUACUCCAAUCUGUAAAGCCACCAAAGGAAACAAAGUCAUCUCAUUUUAUUCUUUACCAGAAUUUGAAGAAUGGAAAGCUGAAACUCCUGAUCAUAAAAAUUGGAAGAUAAAAUACUACAAAGGUUUGGGUACAAGUACCUCUAACGAAGCAAAAGAGUACUUUACAGAUCUUGCACGUCACAGGAUUCGAUUCAAGUAUGGAGGUCCUGAAGAUGAUCAGUCUGUCAUUCUUGCGUUUAGUAAGAAAAUGGUCGAUCAAAGAAAAGAAUGGUUGACUAGAGCCAUGGAAGAAAGAAAACAAAGACGUGAAGAUGGAUUAGGAGAAAUUUAUUUAUACCAAAAAGACACAAAAGUCGUUUCAUACAAAGAUUUUGUCAACAAAGAAUUAGUUCUUUUCAGUAAUCUUGAUAACGAACGAUCGAUUCCAUCAGUAAUGGAUGGAUUCAAACCUGGCCAAAGAAAGGUUUUGUUUACAUGUUUCAAACGAAAUUUGAAGAAUGAAACUAAAGUAGCUCAGUUAGCUGGUACCGUUGGCUCCGAAUCAGCAUACCAUCACGGUGAAGUGUCUUUGAUGUCUACAAUUGUCAGUUUGGCUCAAGAUUUUGUUGGCAGCAACAACAUAAAUCUAUUGCUUCCACUUGGUCAAUUCGGGACUAGAUUGCAGGGUGGUAAAGAUGCCGCCAGUGCUCGUUAUAUUUUCACCAAAUUGAGUCCACUUGCUAGAAAAAUAUUUUCCAAGUUAGAUGAACCUUUACUCCAUUAUCUAUACGAUGAUAAUCAACGAGUUGAACCAGAAUAUUAUGUCCCUAUACUCCCAAUGGUGUUGGUAAAUGGAGCUGACGGAAUUGGAACCGGAUGGAGCACUAAGAUUCCCAAUUAUAAUCCAAGAGAUGUUGUUGCAAACUUGAAGAGAUUGAUUAAUGGAGAAGAAGUUGUUCCGAUGAAACCCUGGUUCAAAGGAUUCCGAGGUUUGAUUGAGAAAAUCGACGCUCAACGUUAUAUCAGUUUUGGUGAAGUCGCUAUUCUUGAUGAUGACAGGAUUGAAAUUACUGAGCUACCAAUUCGAGUCUGGGUUCAGGCUUAUAAAGAAAAUGUUCUCGACCCAUUCCUUCAUGGUAAUGACAAGCAGCCAGUUUUUAUUAGCGAUUACAAAGAAUAUCACACAGAUACUACUGUUCGCUUCGUUGUUUCCAUACCAACUGACAAUCUUCGAAAAGCAGAGCAACAAGGUAUUCACAAAUGUUUUAAACUCCAAACAACAUUUACCACUACUUCAAUGGUUUUGUUUGAUCAUAAUGGUUGUAUUAAAAGGUAUGAAACUCCUGAAGAAAUUCUGUUGGAGUUCUACGAUAUACGUCGUGCGUUUUACAAAAAGAGAAAAGAGUAUCUUGAAGGAAUGCUUGAUGCAGAAGCUUCGAAGUUGGAAAAUCAAGCUCGUUUCAUUGUAGAAAAGAAUUCAGGUCAGAUUAAAAUGGAAGGUGUUGGAGUUAAAGCCAUGAUCGAGACAUUGAUUAAAAAGGGUUAUGCUUCAGAUCCUGUGAAAGCCUGGCAAAAGAAGAACCAGUUCGAUUCUCCAGAACAGCCCGUAGAUGAAGAUAACGAAAAUCCAGCCGAAUCUAGUCAACAAGAGGACAAUCUUACCGGCCCAGAUUAUGAUUACUUGCUUGAUAUGGCUAUGCGAUCUAUGUUGAAAGAAAAAGCUGAUAACCUUCUGAAAACUCGUGAUGCGAAAAAAGCAGAACUUGCUGAACUGAAAAAAACUAGUGCCGAAGAAAUGUGGCUACGAGAUCUUGAUGACUUCAUAGAAGAACUGACUAAUGUUGAAAAAGAACAAGCUGAGGCAGCUGCUAAGGCUAUCAAACCAAAAGGUGGAGAUGGAGGAAAGAUUCGAGGCAAAAGCACUAAAAAGUCCGAUGCUGAUACUAAACCCUCUGAACUCGCUAGACGGAUUAAACCUGAAAUUGAUGUUGCUUUAUAUGCUAAACAAGCAGCAAGCAAUGAAAACAAAAAACGAGGCAAAAAGUCUUCUAAAGAUAUUGAAAUUGAUCUUGAUGCAACUGAGAUUCUCGAAGAAAGUCCAGUGCUUAGUGACAUCGAUGAAAAUGAGGAUAGCCCUCCUGCCUCCAAACCAGAAAGUAAAAAAGUUCUUAAAUCCAAAUCUGUUACAACCAAAGUGAAAGAACUCGAAGAUGAUGAAGAUGAAGACGAAGAUGAUUUGCCAUUAGCUGCUAGGUUAGAAAGUAAAAAGAUGAAGAAAGCAAAAACCAGCGUCACCAAAGAAACCGUAAAUAUCGAGAAUGAUGAUGAUGAUGAUGUACAGCCACCGCAAAGACGGGAAAACACAAAGAUCGGUAAAGCAAAAGCUACAACAUCAAAAACAAAGGAAACUAAGACUACUAAGGUCCCAGCCGCUAAAAGUAAAGCAAAAACAACCGCAACAAAAGAAACAGCUCAAAAAUCUAAAGCAAAGAAAAGGAAAUCUUGGGAAUCUGAUGAAUCUAUUUCUGAAGAAGAAGAUAUAACGUUAAGUUCUGACUCGAGCUUCAAUGUCCAAACAAGUUCCAGUGCUCCAGUAGAAUCUAAAUCAAAAAGGCCUCGUGCAAGAGUCCAAUAUAGAAUUGAAAGUGAUGAAAGUAAUGAUUCAUUAUUAGACAAUCUAUAAAUUCCAUUAAGCGCUCGGAUAAAUCUUUGGAAGGGUCAAUUUUAUGGUUUUUCCAUUUUUAUGUCACUCUAUCUUUAUUCAUAAAAUUGAUCGAUAAAGAUUUUUUCGAGGGGAUCAUGCGUUCAUUCAUCUUCCCUUCAUCAUUUCACAUUAACCAUUAUUUUAUUGUAAUUUCAAAUCUUUUAAUUCUGCAAUUUAAUUGUUUUUAAUAAUGAAAAAACCACAAAAUCAAUAGAUCAUCAAUGAUUAAUCAUUUUGCCAUCUGUAAAUAAACAUAGUUAACCAUUCCCUAUUGUUCAUUUGAAAAAUAAAUCUGUGUUUUCAGUUA